GCGGGUGUAGCUCAAUUGGUUAGAGCGCCGGAUUGUGAUUCCGGAGGUUGCGGAUUCAAGUUCCGUCACUCGCC
Molecule: transfer RNA, 74 nt
Filed under: Dongia mobilis
Lineage: Bacteria; Pseudomonadati; Pseudomonadota; Alphaproteobacteria; Rhodospirillales; Dongiaceae
Description: Rhodospirillaceae bacterium LM22 tRNA
Rfam family: tRNA
About the family: Transfer RNA (tRNA) molecules are approximately 80 nucleotides in length. Their secondary structure includes four short double-helical elements and three loops (D, anti-codon, and T loops).
Source: Rfam by way of RNAcentral